AUCGCUUCUCGGCCUUUUGGCUAAGAUCAAGUGUAGUAUUUGUUCUUAUCAGUUUAAAUAUAACAAAAUUAGGUUAUGUUCUGAGGUUUCCCAAACUAGAGGAAUAUUAUCACAGCAGCGUGAAUUUAGCAAGCAGAAGGACAGUGUAUUCGUGUUUUCGUCGGGCCCAGUAGGUCUGCAGAACCCACCGCAGCCCCAGUAAAA
RNAcentral lists this small nuclear RNA (204 nucleotides) under Prolemur simus (greater bamboo lemur). RNAcentral describes it as "U2 spliceosomal RNA (ENSPSMG00000007607.1)". It matches the Rfam family "U2 spliceosomal RNA". Rfam says of the family: U2 is a small nuclear RNA (snRNA) component of the spliceosome (involved in pre-mRNA splicing). Complementary binding between U2 snRNA (in an area lying towards the 5' end but 3' to hairpin I) and the branchpoint sequence (BPS) of the intron results the bulging out of an unpaired adenosine, on the BPS, which initiates a nucleophilic attack at the intronic 5' splice site, thus starting the first of two transesterification reactions that mediate splicing. The record is from Rfam by way of RNAcentral. Lineage: Eukaryota; Metazoa; Chordata; Mammalia; Primates; Lemuridae.